UAUGCUGAACAGUCUUUAUAAUAAAUGUUGUUUUAAUGAACAUCCAAUAAAUUUUUACAUAUAUAUAAGGUAUAUAUAUGUAGGACUAUGCAGACAUAUUAUGCAGUUAUAAAAGAUGCACAAAACUAUGAAGCUUGUGGUAAUAAUGACAUCGUCUUUGACAACUGAGAAUUUUUUGCGGAUUACGCAUCAGGUCUGAUUAGAUCUGUGUUUUCAGUCAUAGCAGAGCUAAUUUAAGUGGGACGGAAGACAUCGGAGUCUCAAUGUCUUUCUCUGUAUCUCUGGAUCGUUUCAAGGUAUUUGAACAUGGCAAUGAAUUUGCUCUCUUUCUUCAAGCCUGGCAUACUGCCUACCUCACACACAAACAGUAGGAUUGUUCUCCCAAGUCAAUAUUAGAGAUCUAACUUCUUUCUUAUUUAUUAAUAUAAGACAAGUGCAAAUUGGAGACUUACUGUUUUAUUUGUCCCCUGUGGAGCAUCUGGGCAGCCUACAAUACCCGUGUCCUCACACACCCCAGGCUUUGUGGCUCUGGUUGUAGAACGUAGGCGGGAGACCAACGCAGACACCAAUAGGAGCUGCUUGUCUGUUGGUAAUCAGAGCAGAGAUCAAUUAAGUCUGAGAUAAACAGUUACUGGCCAAUUCAAAUAAUACAUAUUUCAUUUCAGCCUCUUGUAAAUUAACAAAGCAAAAUACUAAAAAUAAUAAUUGUGUCCCCUGAAGUUCAGGUAUUACAAGUGAACAUAGCUUAGAAUUUUCUCGGAACAAUACUUUGUGAUAGAUUCUCCGGUCAGUGUGUUAGAAACAAGACCCCUUCCCUGGUGGUGAUACAGCGAGAAGUCAGUAGCCUGUGACCCAGAAGAGAGGUUUCCCCAGAAUCCGGCCAUGCUAGCACCCUGUUCUAGGACUUUCAACAUCCAGAACUGUGAGAAGUAAGUAUCUGUUAGUUACAAGUGGUGUUUUGUUACAGGAGCUCAAAUGGACCAGGGUCAAGAACAAAGAUGAACAGGAAUAUUUGACCUAGGUUCUCUGCUGCAGUAUUACAGAAGGUGCUCAGGGAGGCUUGAAUUGACAUUCAUCUCUCCGUCUCUCUGCCCAAACACUAGCCCUUCAUAAAUGCAUAUGCCCACUUCACUGAAGAUGCUGCAGCUCUCCCAAGUAGCAAGGAGGAUCACACCCCCGCCUCAAUUUCCAGGGGCCAGUGUCGCACUCAGGGAUUGGUGACUGAGAAAGGCAUAACGAGAAGAUGAAUGUGCUUCAACCUUCGAAGUGUCUCCAGUUCCUGGCUUUGUUCUUUCCCUCAGGCUGAACGAGGACUCAGAUCCAUUACCUUUGUGCUCUGGUGCUGCUGCUUUGUUGUCUAUGCAGGUGUAGUGGCCCCUGAGGAGGCACAGCUGUGACCUGGGCUCCCAUGAGACC
This is a long non-coding RNA of Mustela erminea (ermine), 1416 nucleotides long. RefSeq lists it as uncharacterized. The record is from RefSeq and is a predicted model, not a curated record. NCBI's taxonomy places the organism in Eukaryota, Metazoa, Chordata, Mammalia, Carnivora, Mustelidae. The transcript is spliced from 3 exons.